AUAGCGGCAGUUCGGGCAGAGGCUUUGCACAGAGAGGAGCUCUGUUUGUGAGCUCCUCUCUCCUUCUCAGAAUAUGGUUUUUCAUCGCCCGACUGACAUGGGCCUAACCGGGUCUCUCUGAAGUGUUGGAGUGUCUGUGUUCCACCCCUCCACCCACUCAGCCCUAUCUUUGCUGUCAUAUCCUUCCUGGUAGAUAUUUUAUGACAAUUUGCCAUGGCAUGAAGACUGCACAAACUGCAUUACACUAUAUCAAGCCUGGGGCUACCGUAAGAAACAGAGGAGAAAGAAGCAGCAGCCAAGGGAAUCAAUGCCAUAGAACAGGAUUGAAAAUAAAAGAUGAAAAAUCACAUAGGAUAAAUUUCCACGCCAUUCAAUCAAAAGUUUGAAUCUGAAGAUCAAAUGAAGACUAUUCAUCACAGCAUCCUCUAAGUAACACUAUAUUAGGCAAAUUGGAUCUCUUGCAUAUACUGUCUUGAUUUGCAGCACUUAUUUUAAAUUGGAUAAUUUGCUUUUGUA
Long non-coding RNA from Hemicordylus capensis (graceful crag lizard), 516 nucleotides. RefSeq lists it as uncharacterized. The record is from RefSeq and is a predicted model, not a curated record. NCBI's taxonomy places the organism in Eukaryota, Metazoa, Chordata, Lepidosauria, Squamata, Cordylidae. The transcript is spliced from 3 exons.